RNAcentral lists this ribosomal RNA (440 nucleotides) under uncultured bacterium. RNAcentral's name for it is "bacterial SSU rRNA". It matches the Rfam family "Bacterial small subunit ribosomal RNA", at positions 338 to 771 of the family's 1533-position model. The record is from RNAcentral.
CCUACGGGUGGCAGCAGUGGGGAAUCUUGCGCAAUGGGCGAAAGCCUGACGCAGCGACGCCGCGUGAGGGAAGAAGGCCUUCGGGUUGUAAACCUCUUUCAGGAGGGACGAAGCUACUCGGGUGAAUAGCCCAGAGGGUGACGGUACCUCCAGAAGAAGCCCCGGCUAACUACGUGCCAGCAGCCGCGGUAAUACGUAGGGGGCAAGCGUUGUCCGGAUUUAUUGGGCGUAAAGAGCGUGUAGGCGGCCUGGAAGGUCAGCUGUGAAAACUCGAGGCUCAACCUCGAGACGUCGGUUGAAACCACCUGGCUAGAGUCCGGAAGAGGAGUGUGGAAUUCCCGGUGUAGCGGUGAAAUGCGCAGAUAUCGGGAAGAACACCCGUGGCGAAGGCGGCACUCUGGGACGGUACUGACGCUGAGACGCGAAAGCGUGGGGAGCGA